RNAcentral lists this unclassified non-coding RNA (254 nucleotides) under uncultured bacterium. RNAcentral describes it as "contains 16S-23S intergenic spacer region". It matches the Rfam family "Bacterial small subunit ribosomal RNA", at positions 524 to 776 of the family's 1533-position model. The record is from RNAcentral.
UACGGGGGGUGCGAGCGUUAUUCGGAUUUAUUGGGCGUAAAGGGCGCGUAGGCGGUUGGGUAAGUCUGGUGUGAAAACGCUACCGCUCAACGGAGCGAUUGCAUUGGAAACUACUUAACUUGAGUACGGGAGAGGUGAGCGGAAUACCUGGUGUAGCGGUGGAAUGCGUAGAUAUCAGGUAGAAUACCGGUGGCGAAGGCGGCUCACUGGCCCGUAACUGACGCUGAGGCGCGAAAGCGUGGGGAGCAAACGGG